Molecule: unclassified non-coding RNA, 212 nt
Filed under: Hevea brasiliensis (rubber tree)
Lineage: Eukaryota; Viridiplantae; Streptophyta; Magnoliopsida; Malpighiales; Euphorbiaceae
Source: RNAcentral
CCCAGCUAUUCGAAUACGGAUGCAACUAUUGACAUAGAAUUGCCAAGAAGGAGCUUGCUUGUGCAAUUUACUUGUAAUGAAUGUGGCGAAAGAACACAGAGGCUCAUAAACCGAUUAGCCUAUGAACGGGGGCUAGUUUAUGUUCAGUGUGCAGGAUGUGAGCGGUAUCACAAAUUAUACUCAAUUACGAGACCAAGGUUAUCAGCUAAUUU